Long non-coding RNA from Notothenia coriiceps (black rockcod), 286 nucleotides. RefSeq lists it as uncharacterized. Lineage: Eukaryota; Metazoa; Chordata; Actinopteri; Perciformes; Nototheniidae. The record is from RefSeq and is a predicted model, not a curated record. The transcript is spliced from 4 exons.
GCGAGACUGAUCACGUGACACAGCAAGAUGGCGACUACAAUGCAGAAUGGGCUUUGAGUGAUUUAAAUUGUCUGUUUUGUUGGAAAUUUGGAUCUUCUGGAUAACUGUUCUUCAUAAUAAUCCUCAUCAUCGUAUCACAGAAUCAAGAUGGCCCUAAAUGUUUUUGAUCAUGAUGAAUACCGGCCUCCUGUGUGGAAGUCUUACUUGUACCAGCUCCAGCAGGAGGCGCCUCACCCGCGCAGACUCACCUGCACAUGUGAGGUGAGAAAACCCUUCAGAAUAAUAU